ACAAGGGCGCAUGGUGAAUGCCUUGGCACUAGGAGCCGAUGAAGGACGGGACUAACACCGAUAUGCUUCGGGGAGCUGUACGUAAGCUAUGAUCCGGAGAUUUCCGAAUGGGGCAACCCAGCAGUUUUAAUCAACUGUUACCACUAGAUGAAUUCAUAGUCUAGUUGGAGGUAAACGCUGUGAACUGAAACAUCUCAUUAGCAGCAGGAAUAUAAAGAAAUUUCGAUUCCCUAAGUAGCGGCGAGCGAACGGGGAACAGCCCAAACCAAAGUGCUUGCACUUUGGGGUUGUAGGACUGAACAUUUGAGUUACCAAAGAACUUGAUAGUCGAAGGAUUUGGGAAAAUCCGCCAUAGAUGGUGAUAGCCCAGUAGAUUAAAUCAAAUUCUCUCAGUUCAGGAUCCUGAGUACGGCGGAACACGUGAAAUUCCGUCGGAAUCCGGGAGGACCAUCUCCCAAGGCUAAAUACUACCUAGUGACCGAUAGUGAACCAGUACCGUGAGGGAAAGGUGAAAAGCACCCCGGGAGGGGAGUGAAAUAGUUCCUGAAACCAUGUGCCUACAAUAAGUCAGAGCGCGUUAAUGCGUGAUGGCGUGCCUUUUGUAGAAUGAACCGGCGAGUUAUGAUCCCGUGCAAGGUUAAGACUAAAAAGUCGGAGCCGUAGCGAAAGCGAGUCUGAAAUGGGCGUUUUGAGUACGAGGUUAUAGACCCGAAACCAGGUGACCUAUCCAUGUCCAGGUUGAAGGUGCGGUAAAACGCACUGGAGGACCGAACCCGUGUAAGUUGAAAAUUGCUGGGAUGAGGUGUGGAUAGCGGUGAAAUUCCAAACGAACUUGGAGAUAGCUGGUUCUCUCCGAAAUAGCUUUAGGGCUAGCCUCGGAAUUAGGAUCAUGGAGGUAGAGCACUAUUUGGACUAGGGGCCCGUCUUGGGUUACUGAAUUCAGAUAAACUCCGAAUGCCAUUGAUUCAUAUCCGGGAGUCAGACGAUGAGUGAUAAGAUCCACCGUCGAAAGGGGAACAGCCCAGACCAUCAGUUAAGGUCCCUAAAUGUAUGCUAAGUGGAAAAGGAUGUGGAGUUGCAUAGACAACUAGGAUGUUGGCUCAGAAGCAGCCACCAUUUAAAGAGUGCGUAAUAGCUCACUAGUCGAGUGAUCCUGCGCCGAAAAUGUACCGGGGCUAAGCAUACUACCGAAACCAUGGAUGCGACCAUUAGGUCGCGUGAUAGGAGAGCGUUCUAAGGGCGGUGAAGCAAGAUCGUGAGGACUUGUGGAGCGCUUAGAAGUGAGAAUGCCGGUAUGAGUAGCGAAAGAUAGGUGAGAAUCCUAUCCACCGAAUGACUAAGGUUUCCUGGGGAAGGCUCGUCCUCCCAGGGUUAGUCGGGACCUAAGUCGAGGCCGAGAGGCGUAGACGAUGGAUAACAGGUUGAGAUUCCUGUACUAGUUAAGUGCGUUUGAGCAAUGGAGGGACGCAGGAGGCUAAGAUGUGCAUUCUGUUGGAUUAGAAUGUCCAAGCAGUAAGUCUUGUGAAGAGUCAAAUGCUUUUCACUUUAAGGACAAGCUGUGAUGGGGAGCGAAAUUUAGUAGCGAAGCGUCUGAUGUCACACUGCCGAGAAAAGCUUCUAGUGAGUACUUAACUACCCGUACCGCAAACCGACACAGGUAGUCGAGGAGAGAAUCCUAAGGUGAGCGAGUGAACUCUCGUUAAGGAACUCGGCAAAAUGACCCCGUAACUUCGGGAGAAGGGGUGCUGAUCGCAAGAUCAGCCGCAGUGAAUAGGCCCAGGCGACUGUUUAUCAAAAACANNNNNNNNNNCGUGAAGAUGCGGACUACCCGCGACAGGACGGAAAGACCCCAUGGAGCUUUACUGUAGCUUGAUAUUGAGUGUUUGUACAGCUUGUACAGGAUAGGUAGGAGCCAUAGAAACCGGAACGCUAGUUUCGGUGGAGGCGUUGGUGGGAUACUACCCUCGCUGUAUGACCACUCUAACCCGCACCACUAAUCGUGGUGGGAGACAGUGUCAGGUGGGCAGUUUGACUGGGGCGGUCGCCUCCUAAAAAGUAACGGAGGCGCCCAAAGGUUCCCUCAGAAUGGUUGGAAAUCAUUCGCAGAGUGUAAAGGCACAAGGGAGCUUGACUGCGAGACAGACAGGUCGAGCAGGGACGAAAGUCGGGCUUAGUGAUCCGGUGGUACCGUAUGGAAGGGCCAUCGCUCAACGGAUAAAAGCUACCCUGGGGAUAACAGGCUUAUCUCCCCCAAGAGUCCACAUCGACGGGGAGGUUUGGCACCUCGAUGUCGGCUCAUCGCAUCCUGGGGCUGUAGUCGGUCCCAAGGGUUGGGCUGUUCGCCCAUUAAAGCGGUACGCGAGCUGGGUUCAGAACGUCGUGAGACAGUUCGGUCCCUAUCCGUCGCGGGCGUAGGAAAUUUGAGAGGACCUGUCCUUAGUACGAGAGGACCGGGAUGGACAUACCUCUGGUGUACCAGUUGUGCCGCCAGGCGCAUCGCUGGGUAGCUACGUAUGGAUGUGAUAAACGCUGAAAGCAUCUAAGUGUGAAACACACCUCGAGAUGAGAUUUCCCAUUCCUUUAUGGAAGUAAGACCCCUGAAAGAUGAUCAGGUAGAUAGGUUAGAAGUGGCAGUGCGGUGACGCAUGAAGCGGACUAAUACUAAUCGGUCGAGGACUUAACC
This 2683-nucleotide ribosomal RNA is filed under the name Lactiplantibacillus plantarum. RNAcentral's name for it is "bacterial LSU rRNA". It matches the Rfam family "Bacterial large subunit ribosomal RNA". Lineage: Bacteria; Bacillati; Bacillota; Bacilli; Lactobacillales; Lactobacillaceae. The record is from RNAcentral.